RNAcentral lists this ribosomal RNA (482 nucleotides) under uncultured bacterium. RNAcentral's name for it is "partial 16S ribosomal RNA". It matches the Rfam family "Bacterial small subunit ribosomal RNA", at positions 28 to 507 of the family's 1533-position model. The record is from RNAcentral.
GACGAACGCUGGCGGCGUGCUUAACACAUGCAAGUCGAACGAUGAAGAAGAGAAACGCGAACUUCGGUUCAAAUUUCACUUCGGAUUAGUGGCAGACGGGUGAGUAACGCGUGAGCAACCUACCUCUUACAAAGGGAUAGCCUCGGGAAACCGUGAUUAAUACCAUAUGACACAUUCAUAAGGCAUCUUAAGAAUGUUAAAGCUACGGCGGUAAGAGAUGGGCUCGCGUCCCAUUAGCUAGUUGGUGAGGUAAUGGCCCACCAAGGCGACGAUGGGUAACCGGCCUGAGAGGGUGAACGGUCACAUUGGAACUGAGACACGGUCCAAACUCCUACGGGAGGCAGCAGUGGGGAAUAUUGCACAAUGGAGGGAACUCUGAUGCAGCGACGCCGCGUGAGCGAUGAAGGAAUUCGUUUCGUAAAGCUCUGUUCUAUGGGAAGAAAAGGACUGUACCAUAGGAGAAAGCCCCGGCUAAAUACGUG